RNAcentral lists this ribosomal RNA (555 nucleotides) under uncultured bacterium. Its description in RNAcentral is "partial 16S ribosomal RNA". The record is from RNAcentral.
ACAUGCAAGUCGGUUAUCCGAAUCGAUAGCAAAGGUAGGCCUGAGAUACUUUCGAGUUCUUCCAUUGUUGCCCCCGUUCUAAGUCAGCUUACCAACUUCGUGCAUUAANACAAGCUGUAGGUUUCUCGUUUCCCAGCAACGCACCUGGGCGUCGCAGGGGUGCUUGACCCAAGGAGUUGACCAACAAGAAGACUACACUGGUUUCCGUCGCCCUACUAUCUGUGCUCGCAGAGACACCGCCUGUGUCGCCGUGAAAGCAAUGACAUCUCAAGGUCUGUUCAGUGCACGAUUUGAUACCAGCGAUCGUAUUCCCCACUCCGAGCGCCUUGUGGGCCCUGGCUAUCCAACAGAGACGUGAGGGAGAUAACAGAACCCAGUCGCCUGUUGGAAGCGCUCCCUCCAACCCCAACAACAUCGAUAUCUGGUUUGCAUAUUCCUUGGCACCUAUGCUUUUGAUAUACCUUAGAGCCUCCGACAAAGACUUAGGCUACAUCAAACUUCUCCGACCGGGCAUAUCCCAGCAGCAUGCCCAAGCCCUCCAGCAGCCGCGGUAAU